AAUCUGACAUACUAUAGCAUCGACAACACAGCUGACAGGUUAGGCUCUCUGUCAAUACACGUGCUAGAAAGAGGUUUGCUAAUCGUUUGAAGACCAC
Molecule: long non-coding RNA, 97 nt
Organism: Etheostoma spectabile (orangethroat darter)
Lineage: Eukaryota; Metazoa; Chordata; Actinopteri; Perciformes; Percidae
Exons: 3
Source: RefSeq, a predicted model, not a curated record